This 207-nucleotide ribosomal RNA is filed under the name uncultured bacterium. RNAcentral describes it as "partial 16S ribosomal RNA". It matches the Rfam family "Bacterial small subunit ribosomal RNA", at positions 568 to 774 of the family's 1533-position model. The record is from RNAcentral.
UUUGUAGGUGGCUUGCUUAGUCAGACGUGAAAUCCCUCAGCUUAACUGGGGAACUGCGUCUGAUACUGGCGAGCUUGAGUGCAGGAGAGGAACGCGGAAUUCCAGGUGUAGCGGUGAAAUGCGUAGAUAUCUGGAGGAACACCGGUGGCGAAGGCGGCGUUCUGGACUGCAACUGACACUGAAAAACGAAAGCCAGGGGAGCAAACG